Molecule: long non-coding RNA, 2116 nt
Organism: Oncorhynchus tshawytscha (Chinook salmon)
Lineage: Eukaryota; Metazoa; Chordata; Actinopteri; Salmoniformes; Salmonidae
Source: Ensembl
GGGGGAAAAAAAGGGGAGAAACACACCGAUAUGAAACGUGUAUCAAUAUAUAGGUUUAUUGUGAUUCGGAUAUUUGUUUUGUAAAAACAUGACGCAACAUUUGCUGUACAGAAUAAUGAGUUCACAGUUUGAUACAGAAUGAUCAGAAGACGCACACUCCCGUUUGAAUUGACAACCCCACAUACAAUACAAAGAUAGAGUUGAAUACAGAUUCACAACCUUAUAUAUAUAUAUAUAUAUAUAUAAAAAAAAAAUGUUUUUUUAUAUAAUUCAUUGAUAAAAAAAAAAAAUUAAAAAUGUUUUAAAAAAAAAUUAUUUAUCAUCAUGCUUUAUAAAAUGCCUUUAAUUGCCCAUUUCAGUCUAAUAAUCAUUUAUAAAAUAUAUUACAACAAUUCAUCAUCAUAUUACAUCUGCAUAGUUAAAAAACCAACGCAAACCAAACGUGUGUGUGUGUGUAUAUAUAAUCCUGCUAUUAAAUGGAAAAAGCCAGAUUACAUUAAUCCCAAAACAGUGAUAUUGGGUCAGUCUGAUGUUUCCCUCUCCUCGGGGUUAAAGGUUAAGGACUGUGGGAUGCUAAAACUGACCCCAGAUCUGUGACUGUUUCCCUCUCCUCAGGGUUAAAGGUUAAGGACUGUGAGAUGCUAAAACUGACCCCAGAUCUGUGACUGUUUCCCUCUCCUCAGGGUUAAUGGUUAAGGACUGUGGGAUGGUAAAACUGAUCCCAGAUCUGUGACUGUUUCCCUCUCCUCAGGGUUAAUGGUUAAGGACUGACCCCAGAUCUGUGACUGUUUCUCUCUCCUCAGGGUUAAUGGUUAAGGACUGUGGGAUGGUAAAACUGACCACAGAACUGUGACUUGUAACUUGAACUGAGUUUAAUAAUGUUUCAAUCAAUACAUCAUCGCAUCAUUCAACCAACCAACAAAUGAUUGAUUGAAUAAUGAAUGGAUUUGAAUGAGAAUGUGCUGAUUGUCUGGUUCUGUGAAUGGUUUUAAAGUGCUCUCUAGUUUUCUUUACUCUGCAGGCUCACUAGUCUCCUCUGGGCUCCUCUAGCCUCCUCUAGCCCCCUCUGGCCCCUAGCCCCCUCUAGCCUCCUCUAGCCCCUAGCCCCCUCUGGGCUCCUCUAGCCCCUAGCCCCCCCUAGUCUCCUCUAGUCUCCCCUGGUCCCCUCUAGCCCCCUCUGGUCUCACUAUAUAGACUAUGUACAAUACAGGCCACCAGAAGGUAACUUUCAUAAGCAGUACGUUUAUAUGGCUGCGUUUACACAGGCAGCCCAAUUCUGAUCUUUCUUUUUUUCUCCCAACUAAAGCUGCGUUUACACAGGCAGCCCAAUUCUGAUCUUUCGCCCAAUUAUUGGCCAAAGAGCAGAUCUGAUUGGUCAAAAGACAAAUUAGAGGGGGGAUAAAGAUCAGAAUUGGGCUGCCUGUGUAAACGGAGGACAGACGAUCUACCAACAACACAUCCCUGUUUGACACCUGGGCUUUACCCUCUGAAUAUUAAAACCACGUCAUACAAUAACAAAACUAUCAGACAAUCACAUCAUACAAUACCAAAUAUAAAAUCACUGUUGUUGACACACACACACACACUCACUCACAGGAUAGUGGAACUAUGCCAGUCACUGCUGAUAGCUAGUGUUAGAUGGAGAGAGUCAGUGAGAUGUUGUGAUGUCAUCACACAGACAGGAUGUGAGGGGGCAUCAAACCUGCCAAGAUGGCCACCCAUUGGGGUUUGAGUGUUGUUGUUGAGUUUUGUAAAACAGGAAGUCACCAAACCUGCCAAGAUGGCCACCCAUUGGGGUUUGAGUCUUGUUGUUGAGUUUUGUAAAACAGGAAGUCACCAAACCUGCCAAGAUGGCCACCCAUUGGGGUUUGAGUCUUGUUGUUGUUGAGUUUUGUAAAACAGGAAGUCACCAAACCUGCCAAGAUGGCCACCCAUUGGGGUUUGAGUCUUGUUGUUGAGUUUUGUAAAACAGGAAGUCACCAAACCUGCCAAGAUGGCCACCCAUUGGGGUUUGAGUCUUGUUGUUGUUGAGUUUUGUAAAACAGGAAGUCACCAAACCUGCCAAGAUGGCCACCCAUUGGGGUUUGAGUCUUGUUGUUGAGUUUUGUAAAACAGG